AGGCUUGUAGCUCAGGUGGUUAGAGCGCACCCCUGGUAAGGGUGAGGUCGGUGGUUCAAGUCCACUCAGGCCUACCA
RNAcentral lists this transfer RNA (77 nucleotides) under Escherichia coli DEC6B. RNAcentral describes it as "tRNA-Thr". It matches the Rfam family "tRNA". Rfam says of the family: Transfer RNA (tRNA) molecules are approximately 80 nucleotides in length. Lineage: Bacteria; Pseudomonadati; Pseudomonadota; Gammaproteobacteria; Enterobacterales; Enterobacteriaceae. The record is from RNAcentral.